Schistocerca gregaria is the source of this 1825-nucleotide long non-coding RNA. RefSeq lists it as uncharacterized. Lineage: Eukaryota; Metazoa; Arthropoda; Insecta; Orthoptera; Acrididae. The transcript has 5 exons. The record is from RefSeq and is a predicted model, not a curated record.
GUCACUGUUUACCAGAUGUAAUAACAAGAUUGCGGAUGAUGGAACAGUAGAAGGUGUGAAAACAAGAUGGCAGACAGUGGAACAGUUGAAGAUGUCUUUGGUGGUCGUUUUUAAAUUACUCAGAUGUGUGUGUGUGCGUUUGUGAGCGCGCGGGCGUGUGAAAAGAGAGAGAGACUGAGGGGAGGGAGAGAGAAUAGGUGAAUUGUAUUUUUGGGUGGACUUCGUUCAUAUUACUAUGAAGUUAUUGGAUGCGACUGAGUGUUUUCUAGAAGACAUAUGACAUCAUCUACAUAACGAUACCAAUAUAUUACUCGUUGCAGGUGACAAAUUGUAAAGAAAAACAGUCACUGUAAAAACAUAAUACAGCAAGAAAACCACACAACCACACCAUGUGGUAAGAAGGGAAUGCUCUACUGUGAAAAACUGUAUCAACUGCUAUAUGUGAGGUGGCUGGAGUUUAGUGGUCCUGCAGACCAGUAUUCCUUUGAAAUGUGUUGUCGUGUCUUUGGAUCCAUAGAAGGUAUUACUCCUGUAAGAAGUUGCUGUUUCGUCUCAUACAGCACUGACGUCUAUUUUAUAGGAAUGAUGAUUUACAUCAGGCGAAUUUGGUCACCAAGACACCGAUGUAAGUUCACUAUAAUGCUCCUCAAAUCAUUGCAGCAUGGUUCUGGCUCCAAGACACAGACAGUCAUACUGCUGAAAGAUGACACAGCUGUCGGGGAAGACAUCAAGCAUGAAGGGGUGCAGGUGGUUCGCAGCUGUCACGGGUCCCAUGCUAGUACAAGAGUUUCCCAUAACAUAAUACUGCUCCCAUCAGCCAUAAAAUAACAGUGUCUCUUGCAACUUGAUUGUCUGCAUCAAAAAUGCUCCUUAUCCGUUGGAUGAAGCACAAACACGCCCUUGGAAAAAUACACAGCACAUUCAGCCUAUGGGAUAUUCAUUUCAUCCCAAUAUUUCAACCUUCCACCACAAUGAAAACACGUGGUUUCAUCUCCAUCACCAGUAUAAAAGAAUCCAGCUUCACUUAGUUAGUUAGUUAGUUAGGGCAUUGCUUAAUAGCUAAAGACUAACCUUUGAAAGAUGUCAGCCUUGCAUCAUAUGUUCUAUAUUUAGUGUGAGCUACCCUAAUUUACUGUAUAUCACACACUGAACUCCAUAACAAUGCUGAUUUAGGAGAUAAAACAGAGUUUGACCUACCCAACACCCUCAGACAUUGACUAUGUACAGAGCGACCUGCUUCCAAAGCUCUCUUUAUAUAUAGCCUACUCUAAUGACCCAAGAUGCUGUCACUACUGCUCACAUGAUCAUAACAUUGCUUCAGAACACCGAGCAACUUUGAGAAAUUCUGACAAUGCUCACUUGUAUAAAAUUUGCAUCCUGGAUGAAAUGGGCGAACUGUUCAUUUCCUGCAUAUUGCUGCAUGUAUUAACUGUGAACCUACAAUUUCCUCAUGUAUUGUGAGUCAGAGAUCUGUUUCAGCUACAGUAAGGGCAUUUUUGAUGAAUGCAAUGAUGUAUUGUACAAUGUAUUUUUCGUGCUGAGUUAAAAAAACAUUGUGAAGAAUAAAGCAUUAUUGUUAAAAUGUGUUCUUUUCAUGUUUUUUCCUACAUCAAUCACACUUAGACCUGUUCUUUGAUAGUUAUGAAUACAUAGUGAUCUUAACACCUCCUGACCUGUGCUGAAGAAUUGCUAUCUUUUUAGUGUUGAAGUAUGGAACCGACAUAAAAUACUACAAUUCUGUCAAUGUAUUCAGUCUCCCAGGGGUUUGAAAAACAUUUCACCACCAGCAGAGUACUGUUUUUAAAAUCUAUGCUACAGAGUUCCA